AGUGAACGCUGGCGGUAGGCCUAACACAUGCAAGUCGAACGGCAGCACAGUAAGAGCUUGCUCUUACGGGUGGCGAGUGGCGGACGGGUGAGGAAUACAUCGGAAUCUACUUUUUCGUGGGGGAUAACGUAGGGAAACUUACGCUAAUACCGCAUACGACCUACGGGUGAAAGCAGGGGAUCUUCGGACCUUGCGCGAUUGAAUGAGCCGAUGUCGGAUUAGCUAGUUGGCGGGGUAAAGGCCCACCAAGGCGACGAUCCGUAGCUGGUCUGAGAGGAUGGUCAGCCACACUGGAACUGAGACACGGUCCAGACUCCUACGGGAGGCAGCAGUGGGGAAUAUUGGACAAUGGGCGCAAGCCUGAUCCAGCCAUACCGCGUGGGUGAAGAAGGCCUUCGGGUUGUAAAGCCCUUUUGUUGGGAGAGAAAAGCAGCGGGUUAAUACCCCGCUGUUCUGACGGUACCCAAAGAAUAAGCACCGGCUAACUUCGUG
Molecule: ribosomal RNA, 492 nt
Filed under: uncultured bacterium
Lineage: Bacteria
Description: partial 16S ribosomal RNA
Rfam family: Bacterial small subunit ribosomal RNA
Source: RNAcentral